UGGUUGGAUCUUCAUUAUCCCCCCUCAAAUUGGAGGGUAGUGAAACAAUCCCCAAUUUGUCUAGCAAAAAUCGGUGAGAUGCCCCAGAUAGGGGUUUUGUGAAUAGAUCUGCAAUCUGCUACUUUGAAGGGACGAAGGACAAAGUAAUGAGACCGGAGACGAACUGUUGUCUUACAAAAUGACAAUCCAGUUCAACAUGUUUCGUCCUUUCGUGGAAGACCGGGUUUUUUGCAAUAUGGAUAACCGCUUGGCUAUCGGAGUGAAGAGUCACCGGCAAGCUAGGAGGAGCGGCAAGAUCUGAUAGAAGCCUUACUAACCAGGAAACGGGUGCUCCACCAAGGGUGAUGAAAAAACCACUGACUGACCGUCGAGAGUCAGUACAAGAUGCCCAAUCAGCAUCGCAGAAAGCAAGUAAUUCGAAAGAUGAAUCAGAGGAGAGGAGGAUCCCUUGACCUGGAUCAUUUUUCAGAUCUGGAGCCUUACAAGCUCCAUUGAUGAAUCCAAGUUUUCUCUUGGCUGAUAAGGCUAGGAGAAUAGAUCUCCUCCAACCUGGAUAUCCUUUGCCAUCAAACACAUUGUUAAUUAAGGCCAUUCCGGGUGAAUCAGAGUUAUUCAGAUGGUAAGGAUGACUGUUAUCGUAAGUGAUGGUUUUGUCUACAUUGCUUGGCUGUACAUUUGGUGUUGCAUCAGCCAUUUUGGUUUAUUGAGAGAUUGAAGGUGAUUUUGAUGAAGGUUUUGGAUCGAGCUCAAACCUGCUCUGAUACCAUAAAAGAAGACACCGAUUUUGCUGAUUUCCCCUCUUAUUCAUUAAUCUGUUCAUUCCUAUAUAUACACGUUAUUGUAAAUAAAAGAGGCUAAGAAAAUACUAAAAAAACUAUACACUUGAACAGAAAAAUAUUCCUUCACAUGACUAGCACGUGAAGGAAGGUUCCUAGUAAAUUCCUAUUUUAUCCAGCUGGCAGAUUUACAACGGCUGGGAUUGAAUUUGUGAAAAUAGAGAUCUGUUCCAUGUGUUUGAAAAUAGAGAUCAGUUCCAUGUGUUUGGCAUCCAAUGCCUUGGUCAACACAGAACAUAUUAAGUGGGAAACAUACUUUUGAAAACUUUUCUACUUUAUGCUUUUGUCUCAAAAGUUUUCUACUUUUGUCUCAAAACUAUUCUCUUUCCUUUUAAACUU
This is a long non-coding RNA of Lycium barbarum (goji berry), 1175 nucleotides long. RefSeq lists it as uncharacterized. The transcript is spliced from 3 exons. The record is from RefSeq and is a predicted model, not a curated record. Lineage: Eukaryota; Viridiplantae; Streptophyta; Magnoliopsida; Solanales; Solanaceae.